GUUCUUUCUAAGGCACAGAAUAGUGUGUGAUAAAGUGCCAGUCACGUGGGACAAACAUGAGCAAUGAGAAGAAAGAAGAUUCUGCUUCCUGUGAAUUGAGUAAUCCCAGCCCUGGUGGAGGAGGUGGUGUGUGAGCUGGCAUAGAAGGAUGUGCAGGAUGCCAGUCAGUGGUAGAAAAUGAGCUUGGAAAGCUACCUUGUGGGAUUUGGUACCUGGAACUAUGGUCCCAGGCUAAGAACUGAGAUUUCCUCCUGGAAUUUGUGUGUGUGUGUGUGUGUGUGUGUGUGUGUGUGGCAGCAGAUGAAGGAAGGACUUGUGAGCAGAGCAGUCACAUCCCAUGUGUGCAGCUGCGGGAAGAUGAGGCUGGCAGUGCUGUGCAGGAUGAGCCUGGGGAGGAGUACGUGGAACUGAGGAAAUCAGGCUCCAUUCAGACAGGAGGAAUUAACAGAAUGGAGGACCUGUAUUGGGGAUGGCCAUUGAGGUGGAAAACACUAACAAAGGGGAGAGGAUCUAUCAAAUUGGUGAUCAUUCUGAAUUAUAAAAAGGUAUUUUUUAAGUGGCUAUACAGCUUUCAACCAUAGGCAGUAACUUGGAUGCCAAGAAAAGUCAUCAAGUGGUGUGUGUCCAUUUUUUAAAUAUAAAAACUCUGGCUCAGUUUUGGUGUAGGACAUCUAUUAUUUGCUUGCAUCCAGUAGUUGCUCUUUAGAAUCAUACAUUCGCUUAGAAGGAUUAAUAGUUAGUCUGUUCAUCUGCCAUGCUUGUUUCCACUAUUAAUUUACUUAGUCAGCUUACAAAAAAUGUGUCUUACCAAAAAGGCACAUUUCAAGCCCCACUCAGAUCCUCACAAAUUUUACUAUAGUAAUUCUUCACCUCUAUUAUAUAUAUUGUUAUUUUUUAUUUUGGGGGCAAACUCUGUUUCCAGACAUGUUCUUCUGGUUGAAGAACGGUGACUAGAGAAUAUACAUAAAAACACAUAAAAAUGUAUGUCCUCAAGAAAGAUUGAGAUGGCGUUUUUGAAUGACAGUAUACAUUUGGGGAUAGGGUUGUAAGGUUUCUUUGAACUAUUAUGCUGUGAAAUAUAUUCUACUAGAAAUAGAAGCAAACUGAUCAUACUCUGUCAGGGAUGGAUAGGUGUGGAGGACCAGGGAAUUUCAUCACAGAGCUGAAGGCUUGUUGAGGAGCUUCACUUCCACUGUGGUAACCCUCCCUGCAAGGAUCAGGUGGGAGAAUGGUUAUAAAGGUGUUAUUCCCACUUUUAAUACUGGUAGUAACAAUGGGUAAUAAUCACUGCACUUUUACUUUGCUAGGUGCUGCGUUAACACUUUAUGUGUAUCAACUCAUUUAAUCUUCUCAACAACCCUGGAAGUAGAGGAUAUUGUUGUCCCCAUUUUAUAGUAAGGCUCAGAAAAUUUAGUUAACUUGCCGAAAACUACACAACCAGGCAGAACCAAUAUUCAAACCCAGACCACUGGACUUCAGCAUCCAUGCUGUUAACCACCUUGCAGCAAUGCCCUCUAAGGUAGUAUGGGUAAAAGAUAGUAUGGGUAGCUCUUCAAAAGUUGGAGAAAUUCCUGGUGAAAUAAAAACAACUUUAAAUACUGCAUUUUUACCUAGACUUGAGGGAGGAAAUGGUCUUCCUUGGUGCUGUAGUAUUUGAGCUGAAUCAGGUGAGCCAUGGCAAGCUGAGGACCCGCCCCCUAAACUGCCCAUGUUUGCAAUAAAAGAAGCGUCCGUUUCGGUUGGCUUUGUUGGGCAGAAGAAAUGCCUUACAACUCGACUGAAGAAGAACUUGAAGGGAGAAAGCCUGCACGGCCACAGGAGGCAGCUGUGUGCCUGGUAUGCAGGGAUGAGCUCUGCAGUGGCUUUAGCCACGGAUCUGAGCAUGUGUCCGAGGUGCUCCCAGGAGCAGUGCCACUGCAGGAGAGGCACACGUCAGAGAAGACAGCACCCCAGUAUGAGAUGAUGGAAAGGGUUCUUCCAUUCCAGAUGUGUUCCCAGGAUCUGAGCACCAUUCAUAAGACCAAGGCAGCCACUGUAGGACCUGGCUCAUCUCCAAGGAGUAAAGGGACCAGAUACCUUGUGUGGGGGAAACUUGAUUGAAAUAAAUAUUGCAGCAAGGGAGAAAGGAAUCCUAAAACUAUACUGAAAGAGCAAGUGACUUAGGUUGGAAUCCCCUGGGAAGGACCCUAACACAAGGAUUUGAGUGUAAGUAGUUUAUAUGGGAGGUGGUCCCAGGAAGCACAGAUAGAAAAGAGAGGAAGAUGGCAUGGGGAAGGGAAAGCGGGCUGUAAGAGUGUGUGAUUGAGUGGGUUAUCACUCAUAGCACCUGGUGCUCAGUCCCAUUGGGGAACCUUGGAUGACUGUGUAGGGCAUGCCUCAGGGAUAUCCCAUUCAAGGAGUAGGAAAGGGAGGUUUUUCCCCUCCAGGUCUGUCACUACCAGAGUGCCACGCCUGGCUCCUCUUCUGGUGCUGCACAGCAGCUGAGAGAAACGCUUGGGCCAAGAGGCACAGGUGCUUAGAGGAGGACACUGGGCAGGUACUGGAAUGAUGAGGGCCCAGGGAUAUGGGCCCGCCCUCUCACACCUGCUAAGGGAAAUAACAGUGGGUGGAGGAGGUAGAGGUUAUUCCUUUGAGUUCUCUGUAUAAGCCCGAUUUCUUAUCCUUAUUAGCCCACAGUGCCACCUUCACCAGCAGCCUCCUUGAAUCACUGCUCAACUAUAAACAACACAAAAAUCUCCCUAGACGGGGGCUCUGAGCAGUUGCCUUCACGGGGAACGUGGCCCUCGGUUCUGCCAUUCUCAAAGUUAUGGCUGUACUUGAUUUAGACAGAGCCAUGACAAGUCAAAAAGUAGCCUCUCUGUGUUCAGCUGGACCUUUUUAUAUUAACUGAUUUCUUAUUUAUAUGUGUUUGUAUUCAGAAAACAAUUAGAAAUUAACCCGAAUUACACAAAUUGUAUUUCAAGCCCUGGCCCUAAAACUACAUCUGCAGAUCUGCAGACCUUUUUUUCAAGAGAGGGUAGAACAUGCUCUUCUCUCCCAGCUCACUUGACAGUAAGCUUCCACAUGGCAGGGCCCAGCCCCUUCUUGCCUGCCACACCACCCCACAGCACCCUGCACCUGGUGAGUGAUGAUAACCUGCUGACCUGAAAGGAGGAAGAGGGGUGGGCUGCUCUCUGAGUGAAGGGUACUCCCCAUUUCAUGUGGUGUUCGAGGGCAGAUGACAUUUGGACUCUCCACUCCUGCUUUUGGGGGUGCCUUCCAAGGAGCUGGUGGGGAGUGUGGCUCUGAUGGACAGCUCCCCCAUGGGUCUUUCAGGCACUAUUCUAAGGAUUUUAUAUAAUAUAGGCGUAUAGAAAUACACAUUGGUUACAGCAACCUUACAAAAUAAGAACUAUUUUAAUACCCAUUUUACAGAUUAAGAAAUGGGAGCUCAAAUAAGUAACUUAAUUUCUUAGUCACACAGCUAGUAAGUGGCAUACUGGUCUGGAGUCUUAAUAAAUACAUCAGUCUGCUUUUCAGUUACUGGAAGAAAGGAUUUACUUAGGAAAAUGGUGGGAGAGGGCCUUUUUUAAAGGUAUUAGCUACUCUCUCAUAGUCAAGAAGGAAAGACAGUAUUUUUAUAACUUACCCAUUGUGGGGACAUUUGGCUAGCCAGCUGUCUUCCUUUGCUCUUCUCUGUGGCAGUAUUCUGUGGCAAGUGUAUUAUGUGACAGAGGCUCUAACAAGUGAGAAAAUCGUAUUCACAGAUAGAGGUGCCUAUCGUGUAGUGGAAUGAGGGGGAAGAGAAAAAAAGUGGAUGAGAAGGGGAAAAGAAACGUAAGUCAAUUUAACAAGAAAAAGAUAAAUUUUUGUGGGGAAACACUGUUUCUUUUCUCCUUUUGAUAGUAGAAAAGGAUUUAUAGAAGCUCCAUAGGAGAACGAGUAUUGAGUUCUUGUUCUUUAGAAGACUUUCCAAAUUCAUAUAGUCCAUGAAAUACUGUAUUAUUAGAAAAAGAUAUACUUCAUGCAGUCUUAAAAAAAAAGUUAGUGCCUAGAACUUUCUUGGAAAAGAAUCUGGUAGUAACAGUCACGAUGAAUACACACAUAUGCUUUGUGCCAGCAGUCCCACUUUUGGUAAUCUGUGCCCUAGAAAGAAAAUCUUUUGUUCAAAACGGCAAAAAUAUAGUCUGCGUGUUGCAACAUUAUUUGUAGCAGCAAAAACACAGAAGCAGCCUGAAUGAGCAGCUGCAGAGGAGAGGCUGAGCUAGGGAGAGAGAGCACCCUCAUGAUCAAGUAUUCUGCAUAUGGCGCCCAGAAUCCAGUGCAUUCCUCAUGAUCUGGGCAGCGUCCAAGGAAUAUUAUUAAGAGAGCAAAGCAGGUUGCGGAGAGUUGCUUACAACAUGCUCUCACUUUGUACAAGUGGCCAAACCUUACCAGCAAGGAAUUAGUUGUCCUGGGUUUGAAGGAAGGUGUGAAUAGGCAUCCUAACUGGUUUGCUUCAGUUACUUCAUGGAGGGGAGAGGGAGGCAAUGAGCUGGGGAAAAUAAGUAACUUGUUCUUUACAUCCCUUUGCCUUAUGUCUCAUUUCUAUAAUUUAAUAAUUUUUAUACGAUUUUAAAAAUUAAACCUAUGAAGAAGGGAUGAGCAGGUGGUUAGUUCAUUUUAGGAAGAAGGAGCCUGCUUGUGGUUGAGACUGUUCUUUUAAUUGUGGGGGAGUGUGAGUUGCUUACGUCCUUACUCAAAUCCCUCAGAAUUAUAGAAAAUUGGAGGUGCCUUUCUAUCCCUCUGAUGUAGUUCUGCAUAUUUCUUUUGUGAAUGGAGAUCUCUAAGAGAGUUUUAUCCUGAGUUACCCUAUUUGGGGAUGGUGGAGCAUAUACAGGGGAUAUUGAAUUGUAUUAUAAAAAGAAAGGGCUGUUACCUUGACAGUUUUAGGUAUUUGUUAAGCCUCUUAGGAAGUGUUACUUGAAAACCAUAACUUAACUUUGUAUUACUUUGACCAAGACAAUUGCUUAGGCCUACGGAUGUGAAACAGUGGUUUUGGGGUGUUCUGUUUAUUUUGUGAAAGUUACCUGCUGUCACUAUUUUGGAAUGCCGAAUUUCUCUUGAAGCUCAUACCUGCUUUUCUCUUACUCUUCCAUUUACCCCACAUAGACUAGGUUUUAUUUAUCAUAUACAAGUUCUAUUCAGGGUCUAUCUUAGUGAGAUCAGAUUUUGAGUUAUUUGAAGUUAGAAAUUAGGCACAGGCUUCAGAUUCACUAUUAGGGAUUUUUAUGUUUGUUUUUAAAAGCUGUGGUUCAGUAAUGCAAUUUGAGUUUGACUGACUCAGUUUUGAAUAUUGUAGCAUAAGAGGUUUGCAUUGGAGUCCUGGUAUCUGAGUUUAAAUCCUGGCUCUGUGAACAUGGACAAGUUGCUCAACCUGGCUAAGUCUCAUAAGAGUAGGGCUAAUAAUAAUGAUUGUUUUCAUAAUAUAAAUCUCUUAGCUCCUCCUUGUCACCUCGUACAUGCUUGAUAAAUGUUCCCUGCUCUUGAUGCCACCGUCACCACCAUCAUUACCAUUGUUGUUCUCCACUAGGGUAGCCUUACUUUGAUCCUGGAUUCUUGCCACUUAUUUAAGAUAGUGAAGAGGUUGGUGUGGGGGUAGGGAGACUACCUAUGAAUUGAAGAAAUAGGAGGUAAUAGCACUUGAUGGUGACAAUUCGUAAAGAUUGAUUUUGUGCAAGAUAAUUUACAGAAUACACCAUUAAAGCCUAAUUUAACAGAUAUAUCUUAAAUUUAGAUAGUUCCAAUAACUGUUGAAUUUCAUGGCCAGAGAUAUCUCUCGAUGGUCUAAGUUGUGAGAUUUUGGUGAUGACUACAUUUGUCAUGGUGGCAACAUGUAAGAAGAAGACUUAAAAAUCACAAUGGCAUACUGUAUUAGUUUGCUAGGGCUGCCAUAACAAAAUACCACAAACUGGGUGGCUUAAACAACAGAAAUGUGUUUUUUGAAGUUCUGGAGGCUGGAAGUCCAAGAUCAAGGUGCCAACAGGGUCGCUUUCUGGUGAGGCCUUUCUCCUUGAGUCAUAGAAGGGGCCUUCUCACUGUGUCCUCAUGUGCCUUUUCUCUCUGUGCAUGAACUGAGAGAUCAUUGGUAUCUCUUCCUCUUAUAAGGACACCAAUUCUAUUGGAUUAAGGUCCCACCAUUAUGACAUAAUUUAACCUUCAUUACCUCCUUUAAGGCCCUAUCCUUUAAGCCACAGUGGGGAUUGGGACUUCAACAUAUGAAUUGGACACAAUUCAGUGUGUGAUACGUGUAUCAUGUAAAAUAUGUAUAAUAAUUUUAUAAUAAACAUAUAACUUCAGGAUUGUUGGAUGUAAAUUAUUGUUAAUGGAUUUUUAAAAAUCUUCUCAAUGUGACUUAAGAACUUGCUUACAUAGAAAUUAAAAACAAUAAUUGUACCAUGUGAGAAGCUGAAAAUUUGGUCUAACAGCUUCAUUUCUGUUCUGCAUUUAACUUGCUGCUUCUCAUUCCCUUGUCUGUGAAGAUAAUAAGAAGAAGAAAAAUAAAGAUUUCCUUAGCAUUUUGCAAAA
Molecule: long non-coding RNA, 6546 nt
Filed under: Homo sapiens (human)
Lineage: Eukaryota; Metazoa; Chordata; Mammalia; Primates; Hominidae
Description: non-protein coding lnc-XRN2-10:1
Source: RNAcentral